This is an RNA transcript of Drosophila hydei, 1631 nucleotides long. RefSeq lists it as uncharacterized. The transcript is spliced from 5 exons. The record is from RefSeq and is a predicted model, not a curated record. NCBI's taxonomy places the organism in Eukaryota, Metazoa, Arthropoda, Insecta, Diptera, Drosophilidae.
CUAACAAAGAAAAAGAAACAACAACCGCAACAGACUAUGAUAACAAAAAAAAAGCAAAGCAAAUUAACAAACUCUUGUAAAUGUAACGCAAAAUGCAAAAUUAGCUGAAGAUACUACGCAACAACAACAAUAACAACAUGAACUCACUGGCCCAGUGCCACGCCCCCUCCCACCACCACACACUCCAUGCAGCAUCGAGGUACUCCAAAAAAAUAAUAUUUCAAUAAUCUAUAAAAAACAUUAAGAUCAGACAGUCUAUGGGGCACGCAUGUGUGUGUGACACGUGUGCACCUGUGCCAAACAUGCAAAGGAUCUGAGCAUCUUAGUGGCUGUUAGGCAUGUUCCAAUUCCACCUGUUCCAACACAACCCAAUGCAUCUACAAGCGUAUUUCUGCACUCAAUUUAUCACAUUGCCAAACAAAAUCGUAUUCGCUAUACAACUGAACCGGAACAAUAUGAGAACCGAAACAGGCAACCAUAGAAGAGCCUCUCGUCGCACUGGUCUGGAUUGUAGAUAGCAACUCACGCAUAUAUAUGCUGACAAACCGAUUGUGAAAGAGGAAUGUGGAAUUACGAGAACCCAAGCAUAUAUAAUUCUAGUCCUUUGAGGUUAGAUCCAUUCCCAUGAGAUGAAAUGAGAUGAGAGAAAAGUGUAAACGGAAGCAGGUUAGUUCAAUUUGGUUGAUGGGAAUACUUACACACACCAACACACACACACACACCAUCACAUACACACUCAGUGACAACGACAUAGAUAUACAAAAACUGAAUAUAUAACUCACAGAACGCUGGGAAUGAGAGUAUCCUUGUUGUACUUGUUAUUGGAGAUACGUUCAAAUUGAUUGUACCAGAUAUCAUGUUUGCAUGGGAAUGGCAUGUGCUUUGGUGGUUCGCGAUGGUUCGGUACAGCGGUACAACAGAACCAGGGAUCCACGAUCCAAUCACGAUCCGUUCUAAUGCGAGUUUUGCCAGCCGAUCAGGGUCAGGGUUGCAUUAAGCUUGAAUUGUUCUAUACGUUAACGGUUAAUCCGACCCAGAGUCAUUUAGUCACUAGGAAGAGUGAAAUAAUUGAAAGAAUUCAAAAUUUGAACCUGCCUAAAGGCCCGAUCACACUGAACAACACAUGAACCGGUUAUUGAGGCUUUCCGAGACUCGCAAGUGCGUCAGGAUUCAACGGAUGCGCAUGUUCUUCCAGUCUUCAAUCGGCGAUCGGCAAGUGGCAAGCUCCGUUUCGGAGAGCGAGAGAACACAUAUGCCUGGGCCCCAAAUGUGGAGCCACUCCAGGUAACUUGCUUUGCCAACCCACAACAAACACCAGUUAUGUUUCUUCAAGACAGACGAAUGCAGACGCCAUGGAGUGCCUAGUCAAAGGAGCAACGAGUAGCGAGUAACGAGUAGUGAGAAUAACGAGUAACGAGUAGCGAGCAGCGAGAGUGACGGGCUCACUGUAUCUUCCACUCAUGUUAACUGUAUUAAGGCAUGAGAUACGAGGUGAAUUUCAAUUUAUCUCACUUUUUCUACAUAUAUAUAUCUAUAUAUAUAUAUUUUAUAUAUGUAUAUAUAUACAUAUAUAAUUUAUAAAUUGCUCCCACUCCAUCAUCCUUCUCUGUUUGUUGCCAAACAAACACGAU